Molecule: ribosomal RNA, 532 nt
Filed under: uncultured bacterium
Lineage: Bacteria
Description: partial 16S ribosomal RNA
Rfam family: Bacterial small subunit ribosomal RNA
Source: RNAcentral
UGGGGAAUAUUGCACAAUGGGCGAAAGCCUGAUGCAGCAACGCCGCGUGAGUGAUGAAGGCCUUCGGGUUGUAAAGCUCUGUCUUUUGGGACGAUAAUGACGGUACCAAAGGAGGAAGCCACGGCUAACUACGUGCCAGCAGCCGCGGUAAUACGUAGGUGGCAAGCGUUGUCCGGAUUUACUGGGCGUAAAGGAUGCGUAGGCGGAUUUUUAAGUGAGAUGUGAAAUACCCGGGCUUAACUUGGGUGCUGCAUUUCAAACUGGGAAUCUAGAGUGCGGGAGAGGAGAAUGGAAUUCCUAGUGUAGCGGUGAAAUGCGUAGAGAUUAGGAAGAACACCAGUGGCGAAGGCGAUUCUCUGGACCGUAACUGACGCUGAGGCAUGAAAGCGUGGGUAGCAAACAGGAUUAGAUACCCUGGUAGUCCACGCCGUAAACGAUGAGUACUAGGUGUAGGAGGUAUCGACCCCUUCUGUGCCGCAGUUAACACAAUCAAGUACUCCGCCUGGGAAGUACGAUCGCAAGAUUAAAACUC